RNAcentral lists this unclassified non-coding RNA (3528 nucleotides) under Hevea brasiliensis (rubber tree). The stretch from base 3157 to 3317 matches the Rfam family "U1 spliceosomal RNA". Lineage: Eukaryota; Viridiplantae; Streptophyta; Magnoliopsida; Malpighiales; Euphorbiaceae. The record is from RNAcentral.
CUUGGAGUAUGAACCUUUGGGUGUGCAACUGUGCAUGACUUCCCAAUGAAGUUGUUUCCUCUUGACGUCAGUCUGAAUUCUUGAAGAAUUCUACUAGUCUGCUCCAAAUCAAACGCCUUGUCAAAUAAUUCGUGCUUUUAAUAUAAUGGGAAGUGGUGAUUGAAGCUAAAAGAUCACUACUCACUAUCAUUAUCUAGUUUCUGCUUUUAAUCUUUUAUCAAGAAGAACACAUCAGUAAGUCAUUUGGGUUCUGUUCCUUUUCCAUUUUCCAUUAAAAAGCCCAAAUUUUGAUACCCAUUUCUCUGUUUGAGGUAUUCUGACAGAAGGUACAAUAUUGCUGUUGGCAUUGACUUAAUGAUGGGUACGGUUAAAAAGGAUAAUUGGGAUGACGAGUACUCUAUUAUUGGUGACAAGGGUGAGAUUGGUUUCAUUGAUUUUGAGGAUGAUAAAUCCAUUUGUAAUUAUGAUCCUGAUGAAGAAGGGUCAGUUGUUAUAUCUGUCCCAUUUCCUUUUGUAAGAGGGAAGCCUCAAUCUAUUAUUGUAGGUGAAACUUCAAAGUAUUCAAUUACCAUAGCAAACACUGCUAGUGACCCUGUGGAGCUUUGGGGUGUUAGGAUUUUUUGCUCAAAUCCUGCAGAUUCAUUUACUUUAUCUCUUUUAGAACCUCCAUCAGCCAAUUCAAAGGUGGAAAACGUCCGUGGCUUCUUGGAGUCAUAUUCUAUUGAGGAUAGAGUACUUCAGCCACACCAAACACUAACUAUUUGGUUAUCUUGUAAACCAAAGGAAAUGGGAUUGUACACCUCCGUGUUGCAUUUUGAUGUAGGUGAUGAUAGGAUCGAACGUGUUGUUUUUCUGUUGGCUGAAGAUAAAGUCUCUCAGUCUCUGGCUUCUAACAGGCCUUAUUCAAGAACUCCAAGAAGAAAACAGUUUGUCAUGGACGAAUAUGCAUUUUCAUCACGCCCUGCAAAGUCUCAUCCUGUCAAGGCAAUGGUCCGAGGAAUUAAAUUUAAGCUUCCUGAAUUUCCAAUCCCAAGGGAUGCAAGAGAGUUGCUGGAGAAUAAGCGAGUUCCUGAUGUUCUUAUGGAAGGUUUGAAUAGGAAGAACUAUGCUUCUUUUUUCAGUGCAUUGCUCAUAAUGGAAGAACUACAUUUGGAGAAAGAAAUGAGGUGUCAUGACAUGGAGUUUAUCGGCAUGAGAAGGAAAGGGGCUCAACUUCUGGCUUUGGAGGUCCCGGGGCUUGCUGAGAGAAGGCCUUCACUUGUACAUGGUGAUUAUGUUUUCGUGAAGCUUGCAUCCAGCACAACUGCCAACACUGUUCAUAAGGGAUGCAUUUAUCGUGUUGAAGCUGAUGAAGUGCUUCUGAGAUUUACCAAGGAUCUUCAUGCAUGUCACCAGAAUGGGAAUUUGUAUAAUGUUCGGUUUGCAUAUAAUAGGGUGAAUAUAAGGAGGUUGUAUCAAGCAGUUGAAGCAGCAGAGAACUUAGAGCCUGAUCUUCUCUUUCCGUCUCAAUCUACCAGGAGGAGAUUGAUUACAACAGCAAGAUUUGUGCCUUUUACUAGCAGUCUGAAUGCAGAGCAAAUGCAUUCUGUGCAAAUGAUCCUGGGUUGUGAAGGUGCUCCUCCCUACGUAAUCUAUGGGCCUCCGGGUACUGGAAAAACCAUGACACUGGUGGAAGCGGUAUUACAAGUAUAUGCAACAAGAAAGGAUGGUAGAAUUCUUGUGUGUGCUGCUUCAAACAGUGCAGCAGAUCACAUACUAGAAAAAGUCAUCAGUCAUGAGGUUGCUAAAGUUAAAGAGAAUGAACUUUUUAGGUUAAAUGCCUCUAGUCGACCUUAUGAAGAUCUUCAGCCUGAUCAUAUUCGCUUUUGCUAUUCUGUUGAUUCAAUUUUCAAAUGCCCUCCACUUGAUGCCUUGAUCAAAUAUAGGAUCGUGAUUUCUACAUAUACGUGUUCAUUGCUACUGCAUGCAGAAGGUAUUGGUCGUGGUCAUUUCUCUCAUAUUUUCUUGGAUGAGUCUGGCCAAGCUUCAGAGCCAGAAAGCAUGGUUCCUAUAUCUAGCUUUUGCCAAAGGAAUACUGUUGUUGUUCUGGCAGGUGAUCCAAAGCAACUUGGUCCUGUUGUGUAUUCCAAAGAUGCUGAGGCAUUUGGAUUAGGAAAAUCUUAUCUCCAAAGGUUGUUUGAAUGUGAAUUUUACCAAAAUGAAGAUGAAGGUUUUGUAACAAAAUUAGUGAGGAAUUAUCGAUGCCACCCAACAAUUCUGCACCUCCCAUCUAAGCUAUUCUACAAGGGGGAGUUACUUGCAUGUAAAGAAGACACUUCUUCCUCCUUAAGUUCUGACAUGGCUCUUCUUCCUAGCAAAGAAUUUCCUGUUCUAUUUGUUGGCAUUCAAGGCUGUGAUGAGAGGGAAGGCAAUAAUCCAUCAUGGUUUAACCGAAUUGAGGCAAGCAAGGUUGUUGAAAUUAUAAGGAAGCUGAGAGAAAGUACAGAUAUAAAUGAGACUGAUAUUGGGGUAAUAACACCUUAUCGACAACAAGUCCUGAAGAUCAAAAAGGCACUUGAAACUUGGGAAAUGUUGGAUGUGAAGGUUGGGAGCGUCGAACAAUUUCAAGGACAAGAGAGAGAGGUCAUUAUUGUAUCUUGUGUGAGGUCAACCGUCAAGCACAAUAACUUUGACAGAACUUAUUGUCUGGGUUUCCUCAGCAACCCAAAGAGAUUUAAUGUUUCAAUUACCCGAGCUAGAUCUUUGCUUAUCAUUGUUGGCAAUCCACACAUUAUCAAUAAGGAUCCGUACUGGGAAGAGCUUUUGUGGUAUUGUGUGGAUAACAACUCCUACAAAGGCUGCCCUCUCCCUGAAAGGCCUAUUCCAGGGAGAGGCUUGAAUUGUGAAACAGGGGAUUCUUAUGUCUCAACAUCCCGAAGUAGGGACAUCGUUCCAGAAACUCUGCGGGCUGUCACCAAUGAAGCCGAAUGUUUAGAUGGUUGGAAGUAAUUUCCUCACUUUAUCAGGAUUUCUGCUUUUUUGGUUUGUAGGAAUUGGGACAAUAUUUUAGGUUGCUUUGUUUCUCUGUUAGAACUGCAUGAAAUCCCACAUCGGAUAAAUAAAUUUGAUUGGCAUAUGGUCGGAUCUAUAAGUAGAAGUUGGAACUCACAAUGAAACAUACUUACCUGGACGGGGUCAAUGGGUGAUCAAGAAGGCUCAUGGCCUAGGUCAGUGACUUCCAUUGCACUUGGGAGGGGUGCUGUCCUAAGGUCUCCCCAAGUGGGAGAGCCUACGUCAUAAUUUGUGGCAGUGGGGGCCUGCGUUCGCGCGGCCCCUUCCAAUCUUACUGUCAAAGGUUGUUCUGUUCAAUUGUCCAUCUUAACGUGGGCUUAAUUUCUGUUUCUCUUCUAUUUUCCAUGUUAAAAGUGGGCUUAGGUCUGGUUCUCUAUAAAGACCACGAGCAAGUUUGCGCGUGGCUUAGUUUCGUGGGUAGGAAUGAUAAUAGAGAACUUUUGCAAAGAUUAUUGAAACCUAAAUUUAAUAAACAAA